CCUUUGUACACACCGCCCGUCGCUACUACCGAUUGAAUGGCUUAGUGAGGUCUCCGGAUCGGCUUCGGGGAGUCGGCAACGACACCCUGUUGCUGAGAAGCUGAUCAAACUUGGUCAUUUAGAGG
This 125-nucleotide ribosomal RNA is filed under the name Unilacryma unispora. Its description in RNAcentral is "partial small subunit ribosomal RNA". It matches the Rfam family "Eukaryotic small subunit ribosomal RNA", at positions 1657 to 1779 of the family's 1831-position model. The record is from RNAcentral. Lineage: Eukaryota; Fungi; Basidiomycota; Dacrymycetes; Unilacrymaceae.